Rhea pennata is the source of this 2899-nucleotide long non-coding RNA. RefSeq lists it as uncharacterized. The record is from RefSeq and is a predicted model, not a curated record. The transcript has 4 exons. Lineage: Eukaryota; Metazoa; Chordata; Aves; Rheiformes; Rheidae.
GGCCUACAUAAUUACAGCAGAUUUAUGAAGCAAACCCUGGGGAUACUACCUUGGCAGAAGUAGCAUGUAUGAGUGUCUUCUAGAAGCAAACAAUUUCUGUCCUCUCCCCAUAAAAGCAAUUUUGAUAAGUUUAUAUGACUGGGUAAAAAGUCUGGAGGUGGACUGAGCUCUCUAACUUCACUAUAAGUCUUAGCAAAAGCAAUUUUGUUGCAAUAUAUUGUUCUCUUAAGUUAUUGCUGAAUUUGGAAGCAUUUCUAAUUUUCAUGAUUGAUUAGACUACUCUGUAAGCUUGUUUUAAUUAUUUUUAUUUUAACUUUCAUGCACUCUCCUAACUCUGUUAGUAGGUUUUACUCUUAAGUUGACUACCUUUCUGUAUCAGUAAUGUCAUCUUGUGAUUUUUGAGAGCUUAGUCCAAGUACACUCCAAUCAAGAAGACACUUUUGUAACCAUUUUUCUGAUAGUUACAAGACUUUGUAGAAGCAAGUACUUACACAGAAACACACGUUUGAAACUUUUUUUUAUAUGCCCUCUUUGCUGAUCAAAAGGUCCGCAAAGCAAUUUACUGCUGAAAUUAUUCUGUAAAAACUUGGUUUUAGUUUUUCACCUGAAACGUGGUUAAAGAUUUUGAUGGCCCAGUCCAGAAGUUGUGGUGUAUUUCUCAACUGCUGUUCUAGAUAAUGAGUUACCGAGAAGUAGUUACCCAGGUGAUGUACAGAUUUCACUUCUAUGCCAAGACCUCCACAAAGCUUAUUUGCUGCUGACUUCUUUCAAGAGGUUCUGAGUGAGCCCGAAAUAUGAGGGUGAAUUUCUCUGAAGAUUGCCCAAGAGGAUUAAUAGAGAUGUAUUACCUGCUUUGGUGUCUUGAAUAGAGAACCAAAACUUACAGGAUAAAUCACAUUAUUUACAACUUGUUCAGCUGUAGUAAUGAGUACCAUCUGCCAGGACUGUGCUGAGUAAAGCCUAUUGCUUGUCACAGGGAAAACUAAUGCUAGGCAAAAUGUGAUUGUGCUCUGCUGUUGCCAAGCAGUUCAUACCUAUGGACACGUAAUCACUAAAUAUCAAGGAAAGCUUGUCUCGGAGCAUCCAGAGCAGUGGGAAUGUAAAAGUGGUUUUUGGAAGCUAUCUGCGUGCUUUCGGUAUAACUCACGGAGGGUUGUCGUGGUGACAGUUCCCUUGCCAGGCCUGUGAUUCUCCCAAAGCAGGACACAAAGAUAAAAGUAGUGGCAUUCCUACAAAAAGACCUUUGGAACAUGAUGGAGAAAAAAGCGCUGCCUGACGCUCACGUCUGCGGUUAGGCCAUGCAUGGAUUGGAAGAGAAGAUCUGAUACCGCGCGUCGUUUAGAGCUCGGCUUCCAGCUGCUGAUGUGAUGCUGGUGCUCCCCGCCUUCAGUCGCUUCAGGGUUACCGGUUUCCGCUCGCUGGGAAACGAGGAGGAGCUGACAGAAUAGUUGUAAUCCGGUUACAUGCAACGACGUGCUUUAAAAAUAACUGAAGAGUUGUGUCUUGAUCGGUGCGAUCCCCGCUUUUCGCCCGUUGCCACGUGGCUAUCACGCAGUUUGACUGGAGUGAGCAGCAGCUGCUGGUGGCCCUGUUAGCUGUCUGCACCGGCGGCUUUGGGUAUCGCUCACAGAGAAAAUCGGUCGGCAGUCAAAAGGCUGCGUGCAUUUGCCAGACAGGUAUUGCAGCUUGUCGUCUUACGCUUAACUGCCCGGGCUGCUUCUGCUGUAGCUUACAGGUGGGGGAAUGAAUCACUUGGAGUUAGAUAACCUACAGGUUGAUAACAACUAAAACAUUUUGUUGCUGUUGAGUGUCCUAAACUUUUUUUUUUUCAUUGAAAUAAGUGAUGGACCUGUUGGGACUGUGCAAUCCUACUUUUGGGGUGAGAUUACCAAAAGUAAGCCAAAGAAAGUUAUUGAGAAACAAAUACUGAUUGAUUUUAAAUAACUUUUUUUUUCUACAGAUACAAGAAUGUUCAGAAUCUUAUCUUUAAUAUCUACACUUGCCUUCUAUCUACAGUGUACUGUGGAACCUGUAAUAUUUAAAACCAUAAAUUCUUACCCAACUUUUGGUAUUUGGAGGUGUGGGGAAAGCAAAUACCAUCGUACUUAAAUAUUGCCUAAUUUAACAGUGACAAAAGAAUCUGAAGUCACACGUGCUGUGCUAUCUCUUGAAAGAAGUUACGGCUUACGUGCAAUAGAAGCGAGAGAGACAUAAUACCAAUUAAAUCAUUCCUGUACUUGAGGAAGAAAUGGCUUCAGGUUCUUCUUUCGCAUCUGAGAAAAACAGAACUUUGCUUUCUAACAGUUUGUCUUUCCUUCCCCUGCCCCCACUCCCCAGCAAUUGCGUUAUUUCCUGAGCAGUUUGAUUGCAGCUGAAAUUCUGAAUACUAGAAACAAGUUGUUGCGUGGGCACACUCCUGGCAGGAGUUUAAUUCUACGGGCUGAAGGGGUGGAAGUGACACGACUGGCUACUUGUUUGCGGCAGACAUAUUCAGAGACUGAAUAUCUGUGUAAGGCAUAUCAUUGCAUAAGACAUCUCCCACCCCACCACGGGAACAAAAUAAGCUGAGACAGAAGAGUUCUGAUGUUUGGCCGGGUGUUGACUCCACGUUGAGAGGAACUGGUGUCAUUGCAGAGCCUAUGAAUGGAGGAGUAAGAUUGAGGAGAACUGAGGAGAGCGAGACACAGGAGGGGACGACGUAUCUGCAAGGGCAAUAUCAGAAAGAGAGUCUGACUUUACCUCGCUUCUCACUGGCCAGAGGCUGAGAUCUGUUUCAGAAGGAUGUUCUGCACAGGGUUAGGGUGUUGCCCCAGAGGCAACUAUUAUGCCUCUUUUUUUCAUGCAUACCCCCUGUUCCUCCUCCAAGCCUGUGUUUGGAGACUGAAAAAGGCAGGGGGAA